UUUGGUGGCGAUAGCGAAGAGGUCACACCCUGUUCCCAUUCCGAACACGGCAGUUAAGCUCUUCAGCGCCGAUGGUAGUUGGGGGUUUCCCCCUGUGAGAGUAGGAUGCCGCCAAGC
Molecule: ribosomal RNA, 117 nt
Filed under: Peribacillus frigoritolerans
Lineage: Bacteria; Bacillati; Bacillota; Bacilli; Caryophanales; Bacillaceae
Source: RNAcentral